This 73-nucleotide transfer RNA is filed under the name Plectrogenium nanum. Its description in RNAcentral is "tRNA-Val". It matches the Rfam family "tRNA". From Rfam's summary of the family: Transfer RNA (tRNA) molecules are approximately 80 nucleotides in length. Their secondary structure includes four short double-helical elements and three loops (D, anti-codon, and T loops). Further hydrogen bonds mediate the characteristic L-shaped molecular structure. tRNAs have two regions of fundamental functional importance: the anti-codon, which is responsible for specific mRNA codon recognition, and the 3' end, to which the tRNAs corresponding amino acid is attached (by aminoacyl-tRNA synthetases). tRNAs cope with the degeneracy of the genetic code in two manners: having more than one tRNA (with a specific anti-codon) for a particular amino acid; and 'wobble' base-pairing, i.e. permitting non-standard base-pairing at the 3rd anti-codon position. Lineage: Eukaryota; Metazoa; Chordata; Actinopteri; Perciformes; Plectrogeniidae. The record is from RNAcentral.
CAGGAUGUGGCUAAGGUAGUAAAGCAUCUCCCUUACACCGAGCAAGUCGCCCGUGCAACCCGGGUCGCCCUGA